RNAcentral lists this ribosomal RNA (562 nucleotides) under uncultured Leuconostoc sp. RNAcentral describes it as "bacterial SSU rRNA". It matches the Rfam family "Bacterial small subunit ribosomal RNA", at positions 952 to 1516 of the family's 1533-position model. The record is from RNAcentral. Lineage: Bacteria; Bacillati; Bacillota; Bacilli; Lactobacillales; Lactobacillaceae.
CGAAGCACCGCGAAGAACCUACCAGGUCUUGACAUCCUUUGAAGAUGUUAGAAAUAACAUUGGCUCUUCGGAGCCAAAGUGACAGGUGGUGCAUGGUCGUCGUCAGCUCGUGUCGUGAGAUGUUGGGUUAAGUCCCGCAACGAGCGCAACCCUUAUUGUUAGUUGCCAGCAUUUAGUUGGGCACUCUAGCGAGACUGCCGGUGACAAACCGGAGGAAGGCGGGGACGACGUCAGAUCAUCAUGCCCCUUAUGACCUGGGCUACACACGUGCUACAAUGGCGUAUACAACGAGUCGCAAACCCGCGAGGGUAAGCUAAUCUCUUAAAGUACGUCUCAGUUCGGAUUGUAGUCUGCAACUCGACUACAUGAAGUCGGAAUCGCUAGUAAUCGCGGAUCAGCAUGCCGCGGUGAAUACGUUCCCGGGUCUUGUACACACCGCCCGUCACACCAUGGAAGUUUGUAAUGCCCAAAGCCGGUGGCCUAACCUUUUGGAGGGAGCCGUCUAAGGCAGGACAGAUGACUGGGGUGAAGUCGUAACAAGGUAACCAAGGGCGAAUUCCAG